Long non-coding RNA from Lactuca sativa (garden lettuce), 1358 nucleotides. RefSeq lists it as uncharacterized. The record is from RefSeq and is a predicted model, not a curated record. Lineage: Eukaryota; Viridiplantae; Streptophyta; Magnoliopsida; Asterales; Asteraceae.
CUUCACUUUCAGCAUAUUUAAAUAAAAGAAUUUGUUAGAUUCAUUGAUGAUGUAGCUUAAACCCCGAUUUCUCCUAGAUGACACCUCCAAAAUCAAGUUUAAUUCUUCUCUUUUCUUCAUCCACUUUUGCUCUUGGUCUCCGAGCACCACACACAUACACACGUAUAAAAAUCCUUCGGUGUCGUAGUUUCCGAUGAAAACAACCAGCACGAUUUUUAUUCCGAUUUAGUAAAUCAAUCGAUACUUUGUGUGUUUGUUAUUAAAUAGGAGAGAUUUGGGUAUUCCAGAUGAAAACCCUAAACCUAGGACUUUUCCGAUUUGUAGGUAUUUGCUCUGUUUCUGAUAUUGUUUUCCUUUCUUACUCUCAAUGUUUGUCUUCAAAUUUCAGAAUUGAUUGAUGAUCUCACACAAAUUUAAUUGAUGGAUAAGAGCUUCUAGGUUCAUAAAGUGCAUCACUGUCGGCCAUGGGGCUGUUGGAAAGACAUGUCUCUUAAUUUCUUACACCAACAAUUCCUUUCAUACAAUGAUUAAUUCAUUUAAUUUCUUCACAAUUCUCUUCUUAUUCAAUUUUACGAAAGACAUUUCAAUCGAUUCUUUUGUUUAUCCCUAAUCUCAACCUAUCUUAUUCAUUUCUUCACAAUUCCUUUUUGUCCCCAUCGUCGAACUUCAUUUAUACGCUUUUCAGUUCAUUUCUGCCUAAUUUCUUGUGGAGAUGGGAGGAAGUAUCGGUAUAAUAAUCAUAUUCUUAAUGGAAUUUUGCUUAUAAAGAAGAUUGAAAUAUAUCUACUUGUUUCCAUUGUGUUCCAAAUAUGAUUAUCUACCAAUUGUAUUUGAUAAUUUCAGUGCCAAUGUCGUUGUUAAUGGCAAUAUUGUCAAUCUAGGCUUGUGGGACACUGUUAGUAACCAUCUGAAACACCAUUAAUCAUUUCUAUAUUCUUGAACUUCAAGGGUAAUAUAGACAUUUCAUUGAACAUGAUAAGAAGAUUAUAACAAAUUAAGAUCAUUGAGUUAUCAUGGUGUUGAUGUCUUUAUUCUUGCAUUUUCUCUCAUUCGCAAAACUAGCUAUGAAAACAUUUCCAAGAAGUGGAUUCUAGAAUUGAAACACUAUGCCCCUGAAGUCCUAGUUGUCCUUGUUGGGACCAAAAUUGGUUAGUUGUUUCAUGAUGAUUCAGAAUUUGAUAAUUUGUAGAAGCUAAACUGCAUUAUUAAUUUGUUAUAUAAUGUUAUAAAUUGGUUAGUUAUAAAUGACCAAGAUACCCUGUUAUCAGAAUCAUUUUUUUUCCUGUAUUUUUAGUUUAUUGUAGUAUAACUCAUUGUAAGAUGAUUUGCCAUUGGUUUUACUGUAAUGUUUUGACUGA